Molecule: long non-coding RNA, 939 nt
Filed under: Homo sapiens (human)
Lineage: Eukaryota; Metazoa; Chordata; Mammalia; Primates; Hominidae
Description: HSALNT0004449
Source: RNAcentral
CCGGAGACCGCCUGGAUUGAGUUCUACUGCGAUUGGAAGGGAGAUUCCACAGCCCACAUACUUUGGACUUUAAUUAAGUAACCAUGGCCUGUGAUUCAAUGUUGAUUCUGAUUUCAAGACAUCUCUGCCUCGAGACAGUGGAAAACCACAUGCCUUGCUCCAACUGCCACCAAGAAGAGUUCCUUUCUCUGCUAUCCUUCAGAGUGACCUUGCUCAGGCCAUGACAGUCCAUUUCUGGCUCAUACCAGCACAUUGUACAGAGCCAUGCAUAACAGUUCACACUCGUUUCCUCCCAUGUCGCCUGGGUUGGAGUCUCUGGAGCAGUGUGCAGGAAUGGGUACUGGGAGUAAGAACAGCCUGCUCAUUGCACCUUCAGGGCUGUUUAGGCCACAUUCUCUAUGGGCCACUUUCACUUGAGAAUUACUGAGUAUUGGCGAUCAGAAAACACCCAAUUCAUGAUGGGCAGCUCAGGUUGCAACGUCACCUAGUGCUCUAUGGUCAAGCAUUCAGCCUACUAGAACUAUUAGGAAAAUCCUAGUAGCUACUACUAGGGCAAGGAUGUCAUCGAAGAGUACUUCAAAUGCGAUAAUGAACAAAUAAAACUUUGGUUCAUGUUCUUUAAAAAAAAAAAAGUAGCUACUAGCUACGAGUAGCUACUACUACUAAAACUCAGGAGCUAUUUCUCAAAAGAAAAAUACUCAGUAUGAAUGAGGAACGGCUAACAGCUUUGCCUCCAAACUUUGAGGGCCUCUAUGGUGAUCCCUCUACCAAUGUUUGCAAUAGGCUCAGUAUGGCAUCAUUUCCCUCAGACGCUUUUUUUUUUUUUUUGAGGCAGAGUUUCACUCUUAGUUGCCCAGGCUGGAGUGCAAUGGCACGAUCUCGGCUCACUGCACCUUCCGCCUCCCAGGUUCAAGCAAUUCUCCUGCCUCAGCCCCCUGA